This is a long non-coding RNA of Microtus oregoni (creeping vole), 251 nucleotides long. RefSeq lists it as uncharacterized. The record is from RefSeq and is a predicted model, not a curated record. NCBI's taxonomy places the organism in Eukaryota, Metazoa, Chordata, Mammalia, Rodentia, Cricetidae. The transcript is spliced from 3 exons.
GAAGAAUGAACAGCAUUUUCUCAGGUUCCAGCAUCCUGGACUCCAUAGUUUUCUACCGUACCCAACCUGAAAAGUGCAUGGCCUCCAGCAACACUCAUCAUGGAAUUGAGCUGCUUUCCCUGCAACACCCUUCAGAUGGCUGCAUAGCAUGCUGUCUAUUCUGCCUUUGUAGCUGGGACACAAAUGAUCCAUUUGGUCAUGACCCCUUGCAAGCUAGAUUGAUGCAACAGCCUCUUCAUUUGUCCCCCUGC